UGGGGCAUGAACCUGGCACACAAUGUAGAUUUCUGUGUUUGUUAAGCAACAGCUACAUUGUCUGCUGGGUUUCCAGCUGCCUGG
RNAcentral lists this microRNA precursor (84 nucleotides) under Cephalopterus ornatus (amazonian umbrellabird). RNAcentral's name for it is "mir-221 microRNA precursor family". It matches the Rfam family "mir-221 microRNA precursor family". Lineage: Eukaryota; Metazoa; Chordata; Aves; Passeriformes; Cotingidae. RNAcentral also lists the same sequence under 9 other names. The record is from Rfam by way of RNAcentral.